GUCAUUUAAGCAUCACAUAAUUAAUUGUGUACAUCCUGUGCCACAUGCAAUUGCCACAGCUUUGAAGUCCCAAUAGAUCAUUUUAUAGAGCAGUGGGUGCCAUUUUAAAGAAAAAGAAAGAAAAAGAAAAGCAAAGGCCUGGCGCCAGGACACGGCUGUGUGGAUUUGAACAUAUCCUUCUCCAGAUAGAGCUGCUCGAGUCAGAGUCAAACCUUUUUGGAGGAGGGGAAAUCUUGGAUUGAGAGCGUGACUGAUACAGGCACCCAUCCUUGUCUCUGCUCCAGAUUACAGGAAUCUCUGGAAACAAAGAAUGAAAACCAGUUUCCAGAUUUCCAUCUUAAUUAAUCCACAAUAUCCUGACCAGUAAACUAAUCUUCCAUUAUCAAAUUUCGACCAAAGAUUGCGACUUUUCUGAAGAGGCGAGUGCUGGGUGCCUCUAGUCAACCAUGUUGAUGACGUCCUUUCUAGAAAACACCCUGAUACCUUGUGCCUGUGCUUCCAAGGUGGCUGACGCUGUGCCUGUGCUUCCGAGGUGGCUGACUUCUAACUGAGUGCAGUGGAGACCCCGUGGUGCUUUACAGAACAGAUGGCAGUGCUGCCCAAGCUCAGAACACAGCUGGACGGAUCCCCAUUUUUAAAAUGUUGCUUUUAAAGUUCCUUGGUCUAUUUUAAGUCUUAGACAAUAGAGCACUAAUUUGUGUCCACAGCUAGGGAAAAAGCACCCCAAAUACUCAUGUUAUGUCACUUUCAGUACCACAAUUCAAAUAGUGAAAGACGAUGCUUCCAUGUACCACGUAUAGGUCUCUACUAGUGAUUUUUCUCUCAUUUCAACCUAGCUUCACAUAUUUUUAUGGUAUAGCUAACUCAACAUUGAUUCUAUACAAAAUAUAUUAUCUAAGAUAGUCUUUAAAAAUAUUUGAAUUCCACUGGGAUUUGUUUAAACCCCUACACAAAUAAUUACCUCUUACUAAAAACACUGAGUUUGGCAAGUGAAAUUUUGUAAUAAGGUGAAGAUUCAAUAAAAUCUUGUCUCAAACUAAUG
This 1042-nucleotide long non-coding RNA is filed under the name Homo sapiens (human). Its description in RNAcentral is "HSALNT0244626". Lineage: Eukaryota; Metazoa; Chordata; Mammalia; Primates; Hominidae. The record is from RNAcentral.